RNAcentral lists this transfer RNA (70 nucleotides) under Acinetobacter schindleri. RNAcentral's name for it is "tRNA-Met". It matches the Rfam family "tRNA". Rfam says of the family: Transfer RNA (tRNA) molecules are approximately 80 nucleotides in length. Their secondary structure includes four short double-helical elements and three loops (D, anti-codon, and T loops). Further hydrogen bonds mediate the characteristic L-shaped molecular structure. tRNAs have two regions of fundamental functional importance: the anti-codon, which is responsible for specific mRNA codon recognition, and the 3' end, to which the tRNAs corresponding amino acid is attached (by aminoacyl-tRNA synthetases). tRNAs cope with the degeneracy of the genetic code in two manners: having more than one tRNA (with a specific anti-codon) for a particular amino acid; and 'wobble' base-pairing, i.e. permitting non-standard base-pairing at the 3rd anti-codon position. RNAcentral also lists the same sequence under 1 other name. The record is from RNAcentral. Lineage: Bacteria; Pseudomonadati; Pseudomonadota; Gammaproteobacteria; Moraxellales; Moraxellaceae.
GCGGGAUGGAGCAGUCUGGUAGCUCGUCGGGCUCAUAACCCGAAGGUCGUUGGUUCAAAUCCAGCUCCCG